Molecule: ribosomal RNA, 1553 nt
Filed under: Salmonella enterica subsp. enterica serovar Tennessee str. TXSC_TXSC08-21
Lineage: Bacteria; Pseudomonadati; Pseudomonadota; Gammaproteobacteria; Enterobacterales; Enterobacteriaceae
Description: bacterial SSU rRNA
Rfam family: Bacterial small subunit ribosomal RNA
Source: RNAcentral
AAAUUGAAGAGUUUGAUCAUGGCUCAGAUUGAACGCUGGCGGCAGGCCUAACACAUGCAAGUCGAACGGUAACAGGAAGCAGCUUGCUGCUUGCUGACGAGUGGCGGACGGGUGAGUAAUGUCUGGGAAACUGCCUGAUGGAGGGGGAUAACUACUGGAAACGGUGGCUAAUACCGCAUAACGUCGCAAGACCAAAGAGGGGGACCUUCGGGCCUCUUGCCAUCAGAUGUGCCCAGAUGGGAUUAGCUUGUUGGUGAGGUAACGGCUCACCAAGGCGACGAUCCCUAGCUGGUCUGAGAGGAUGACCAGCCACACUGGAACUGAGACACGGUCCAGACUCCUACGGGAGGCAGCAGUGGGGAAUAUUGCACAAUGGGCGCAAGCCUGAUGCAGCCAUGCCGCGUGUAUGAAGAAGGCCUUCGGGUUGUAAAGUACUUUCAGCGGGGAGGAAGGUGUUGUGGUUAAUAACCGCAGCAAUUGACGUUACCCGCAGAAGAAGCACCGGCUAACUCCGUGCCAGCAGCCGCGGUAAUACGGAGGGUGCAAGCGUUAAUCGGAAUUACUGGGCGUAAAGCGCACGCAGGCGGUCUGUCAAGUCGGAUGUGAAAUCCCCGGGCUCAACCUGGGAACUGCAUUCGAAACUGGCAGGCUUGAGUCUUGUAGAGGGGGGUAGAAUUCCAGGUGUAGCGGUGAAAUGCGUAGAGAUCUGGAGGAAUACCGGUGGCGAAGGCGGCCCCCUGGACAAAGACUGACGCUCAGGUGCGAAAGCGUGGGGAGCAAACAGGAUUAGAUACCCUGGUAGUCCACGCCGUAAACGAUGUCUACUUGGAGGUUGUGCCCUUGAGGCGUGGCUUCCGGAGCUAACGCGUUAAGUAGACCGCCUGGGGAGUACGGCCGCAAGGUUAAAACUCAAAUGAAUUGACGGGGGCCCGCACAAGCGGUGGAGCAUGUGGUUUAAUUCGAUGCAACGCGAAGAACCUUACCUGGUCUUGACAUCCACGGAAGUUCUCAGAGAUGAGAAUGUGCCUUCGGGAACCGUGAGACAGGUGCUGCAUGGCUGUCGUCAGCUCGUGUUGUGAAAUGUUGGGUUAAGUCCCGCAACGAGCGCAACCCUUAUCCUUUGUUGCCAGCGAUUAGGUCGGGAACUCAAAGGAGACUGCCAGUGAUAAACUGGAGGAAGGUGGGGAUGACGUCAAGUCAUCAUGGCCCUUACGACCAGGGCUACACACGUGCUACAAUGGCGCAUACAAAGAGAAGCGACCUCGCGAGAGCAAGCGGACCUCAUAAAGUGCGUCGUAGUCCGGAUUGGAGUCUGCAACUCGACUCCAUGAAGUCGGAAUCGCUAGUAAUCGUGGAUCAGAAUGCCACGGUGAAUACGUUCCCGGGCCUUGUACACACCGCCCGUCACACCAUGGGAGUGGGUUGCAAAAGAAGUAGGUAGCUUAACCUUCGGGAGGGCGCUUACCACUUUGUGAUUCAUGACUGGGGUGAAGUCGUAACAAGGUAACCGUAGGGGAACCUGCGGUUGGAUCACCUCCUUACCUUAAAGAAGC